This 403-nucleotide long non-coding RNA is filed under the name Heterocephalus glaber (naked mole-rat). RNAcentral describes it as "lncRNA (ENSHGLG00000047244.1)". Lineage: Eukaryota; Metazoa; Chordata; Mammalia; Rodentia; Bathyergidae. The record is from RNAcentral.
CCCACUGAUGCCACCAUGUCAUGUGCAAGGAAGCAGACCACCCUAGGGACCGCAGCUUUGGGAUAGACCCUGGACUAAAGGGCCCGAUAAGUAAACCAAGGUUCUGAAGGAUGAAAGAUGUGUCUGAGGUCACACAGUCACUACCUUGCACUUGCCAGGCAGGCGCGACACCACUGAGCCACAUCCCCAGCUCAUGAGCUGUUGUUUCUAAACUAAGCUGUCAGUAUUCAGGUUCAACUACAGUGUUGGCACUUUGCGAUAUAGGGGCCACCAGGACACAUCACACUUAGCUAUCACAUCUCCUGAGGCUCUGCUGAGCCUUCGACAGGUUCUCAGAUGCUCCUGGCUUCUGAGGAACAUGGUACUUUGUGGAGCAGGCACAGAGGUCAGAAGCACACACUGC